CCUACGGGAGGCUGCAGUCGAGAAUCAUUCACAAUGGGGGAAACCCUGAUGGUGCGACGCCGCGUGGGGGAAUGAAGGUCUUCGGAUUGUAAACCCCUGUCAUGUGGGAGCAAAUUAACAAGAUAGUACCACAAGAGGAAGAGACGGCUAACUCUGUGCCAGCAGCCGCGGUAAUACAGAGGUCUCAAGCGUUGUUCGGAAUCACUGGGCGUAAAGCGUGCGUAGGCUGUUUCGUAAGUCGUGUGUGAAAGGCGCGGGCUCAACCCGCGGACGGCACAUGAUACUGCGAGACUAGAGUAAGGGAGGGGGAACCGGAAUUCUCGGUGUAGCAGUGAAAUGCGUAGAUAUCGAGAGGAACACUCGUGGCGAAGGCGGGUUCCUGGACAUUAACUGACGCUGAGGCACGAAGGCCAGGGGAGCGAAAGGGAUUAGAUACCCGAGUAGUC
This 446-nucleotide ribosomal RNA is filed under the name uncultured bacterium. Its description in RNAcentral is "partial 16S ribosomal RNA". It matches the Rfam family "Bacterial small subunit ribosomal RNA", at positions 338 to 795 of the family's 1533-position model. The record is from RNAcentral.